GAUGAAGAACGUAGCAAAAUGCGAUACUUGGUGUGAAUUGCAGAAUCCCGUGAACCAUCGAGUUUUUGAACGCAAGUUGCGCCCGAAGCCUUUUGGCCGAGGGCACGUCUGCCUGGGCGUCACGCAUCGCGUCGCCCCCCACAACUCUCCGUAAAGGGAACUUGUGUUUUGGGGGCGGAUAUUGGUCUCCCGUGCUCAUGGCGUGGUUGGCCGAAAUAGGAGUCCCUCCGGUGGACGCACGAACUAGUGGUGGUCGUAAAAACCCUCGUCUUUUGUUUCGUGCCGUUAGUCGCGAGGGAAACUCUUUAAAAACCCAAAUGUGUCGUCUCUUGACGGCGCUUCGACCGCGACCCCAGGUCAGGCGGGACUACCCGCUGAGUUUAAGCAUAUCAAUAGGCGGAGGA
RNAcentral lists this unclassified non-coding RNA (404 nucleotides) under soil metagenome. Its description in RNAcentral is "partial contains 5.8S ribosomal RNA, internal transcribed spacer 2, and large subunit ribosomal RNA". The stretch from base 1 to 122 matches the Rfam family "5.8S ribosomal RNA", at positions 35 to 154 of the family's 154-position model. The record is from RNAcentral.